This 1549-nucleotide ribosomal RNA is filed under the name Listeria innocua. RNAcentral's name for it is "partial 23S ribosomal RNA". It matches the Rfam family "Bacterial large subunit ribosomal RNA", at positions 1 to 1542 of the family's 2925-position model. Lineage: Bacteria; Bacillati; Bacillota; Bacilli; Caryophanales; Listeriaceae. The record is from RNAcentral.
UUGGUUAAGUUAGAAAGGGCGCACGGUGGAUGCCUUGGCACUAGGAGCCGAAGAAGGACGGGACUAACACCGAUAUGCUUUGGGGAGCUGUACGUAAGCGUUGAUCCAGAGAUUUCCGAAUGGGGGAACCCACUAUCUUUAGUCGGAUAGUAUCCUUACGUGAAUACAUAGCGUGAGGAAGGCAGACCCAGGGAACUGAAACAUCUAAGUACCUGGAGGAAGAGAAAGAAAAAUCGAUUUCCUGAGUAGCGGCGAGCGAAACGGAAAGAGCCCAAACCAAGAAGCUUGCUUCUUGGGGUUGUAGGACACUCUAUACGGAGUUACAAAAGAAAGUUAUAAAUGAAGCGGUCUGGAAAGGCCCGCCAAAGACGGUAACAGCCCGGUAGUUGAAAUGGCUUUCCCUCCAGAGUGGAUCCUGAGUACGGCGGAACACGUGAAAUUCCGUCGGAAUCCGGGAGGACCAUCUCCCAAGGCUAAAUACUCCCUAGUGACCGAUAGUGAACCAGUACCGUGAGGGAAAGGUGAAAAGCACCCCGGAAGGGGAGUGAAACAGUUCCUGAAACCGUGUGCCUACAAGUAGUUAGAGCCCGUUAAUGGGUGAUAGCGUGCCUUUUGUAGAAUGAACCGGCGAGUUACGAUUUGUUGCAAGGUUAAGCGGAAAAAGCGGAGCCGUAGCGAAAGCGAGUCUGAAUAGGGCGCAUAAGUAACAGGUCGUAGACCCGAAACCAGGUGAUCUACCCAUGUCCAGGAUGAAGGUAAGGUAAUACUUACUGGAGGUCCGAACCCACGCACGUUGAAAAGUGCGGGGAUGAGGUGUGGGUAGCGGAGAAAUUCCAAUCGAACUUGGAGAUAGCUGGUUCUCUCCGAAAUAGCUUUAGGGCUAGCCUCGAGGUAAAGAGUCAUGGAGGUAGAGCACUGUUUGGACUAGGGGCCCUUCUCGGGUUACCGAAUUCAGAUAAACUCCGAAUGCCAUGUACUUAUACUCGGGAGUCAGACUGCGAGUGAUAAGAUCCGUAGUCGAAAGGGAAACAGCCCAGACCACCAGUUAAGGUCCCCAAAUAUAUGUUAAGUGGAAAAGGAUGUGGGGUUGCUUAGACAACCAGGAUGUUGGCUUAGAAGCAGCCACCAUUGAAAGAGUGCGUAAUAGCUCACUGGUCGAGUGACCCCGCGCCGAAAAUGUACCGGGGCUAAACAUAUUACCGAAACUGUGGAUGAACCUCUUCGGAGGUUCGUGGUAGGAGAGCGUUCUAAGGGCGGUGAAGUCAGACCGGAAGGACUGGUGGAGCGCUUAGAAGUGAGAAUGCCGGUAUGAGUAGCGAAAGAAGGGUGAGAAUCCCUUCCACCGAAUAUCUAAGGUUUCCUGAGGAAGGCUCGUCCGCUCAGGGUUAGUCGGGACCUAAGCCGAGGCCGAUAGGCGUAGGCGAUGGACAACAGGUAGAGAUUCCUGUACCAGUGCUAAUUGUUUAACCGAUGGGGUGACACAGAAGGAUAGGGAAUCGCACGAAUGGAAAUGUGCGUCCAAGCAGUGAGUGUGAGAAGUAGGCAAAUC